CCGACGGUGAGGGACGAAAGCUGGGGACACGAACCGGAUUAGAUACCCGGGUAGUCCCAGCCGUAAACGAUGCUCGCUAGGUGUCUGGGGUGGUGCGACCGUUUCAGGUGCCGCAGGGAAGCCGUGAAGCGAGCCACCUGGGAAGUACGGCCGCAAGGCUGAAACUUAAAGGAAUUGGCGGGGGAGCACUACAACGGGUGGAGCCUGCGGUUUAAUUGGACUCAACGCCGGAAAACUCACCUGGGGC
This 247-nucleotide ribosomal RNA is filed under the name uncultured archaeon. RNAcentral's name for it is "partial 16S ribosomal RNA". It matches the Rfam family "Archaeal small subunit ribosomal RNA", at positions 691 to 937 of the family's 1478-position model. The record is from RNAcentral.